AGCAUUGCAUACUAAGCAAGAUGCACUUGCCGUUUGAGUAAACACAUCUAAACGCAUUGUACUUGGAUCACCUUCUACAGCACGUACUUCAUCUGAUAUGGAUCUUUUACAAUUAUUACAUAAUCUGGAUUCAUUAUUCAAGUCAAGAGGUACCUUAUUCCAAAGGCGCGCUCCCCUUACCAUAAAGGAUCUUUGCAGCUCACAGGAUUUCUGAGUUGGAACUGCAAGGACCGUUUUUCUUGCACGAAGCCUGGACUGAGCAGGAGAGGGUACGAUUAAGGAUGUACUCCCAAUCACUCACCGAUUCAACGAAGGGAAUGUCAAGGCCAUCAACCUUAAGCUGAGGCAGAGAUCAUAAUA
Molecule: long non-coding RNA, 360 nt
Organism: Belonocnema kinseyi
Lineage: Eukaryota; Metazoa; Arthropoda; Insecta; Hymenoptera; Cynipidae
Exons: 3
Source: RefSeq, a predicted model, not a curated record